This is a long non-coding RNA of Siniperca chuatsi (mandarin fish), 448 nucleotides long. RefSeq lists it as uncharacterized. NCBI's taxonomy places the organism in Eukaryota, Metazoa, Chordata, Actinopteri, Centrarchiformes, Sinipercidae. The record is from RefSeq and is a predicted model, not a curated record. The transcript has 4 exons.
CGCCUGUAACAUUAUCUGACUCACGAUGGAGAGUUUUGAAAAAAAAAAUCAAAAUCAAUGCAACAGAGACAUCAUCUUUUGUAUUCCACGCAUUUUUUCUUCUUUGUCAAAACCUGGCGCCUACAUUACCCACAAUGCAACUCCACCGCCGACAGUUCAGUCAGUGAUUCUGGGGUGUGAUGCUAGUAGCAGCUAAUGUUGCCUCAAGCAGGGAUGAGAAGCAGCUGCAGAGGUCUGAUCAAUGUACUCCAGAGGGAUCUGACUCGAAGCUACGGGGCGAGAUGUUAUCCAAAUAAGAGCCAAAGGAAGCAGUCUUCCCCUGAUGAGGGAAAAAGACACCAAGAAGCUCCACUAGACUGAAGGUUUUCUUUCUCAUCAGAUUCAGCUCUCGGAAAGAGAGAGGAAAUACAAAUUCCAGAGGAACAAAGAGGUGAUUGCAGUGGAUUGA